AAACUGCAUUACUUCAGCUCACAACUUGGAACCGCUGGAGAAUUUCCUUCUUCCGCCGGUUCUAGGUCUAUUUGGUUACUGCAAUUCAAGCCUAAUAGUACCGCUCUCAAAUUCAAACUUUCCAGGUGCCUCUCCAUCCGCUCCUCUGCUACUGGCUAGAGGAUUCCUGUAAUUCUCAUCCACGCGGUGUGUAUAUAAUCCAUUGAGAUGUUUGUACUUUCAUGUGAAGAAAUGGAGAAACGUUUUCUAUAAUGAUUGGUAACUUUGCUUGAUCAUGGCGCUGGAAAUGUCCGGAGUCUCAGAAAUGCAAUUUGGUUUUUCGGCCUUGACAUUAAAGAUGUACAAGCAGCACAGGACAUUUUGAAAGUGUUUCCCUGGAGUAGGUUAUUUUGAUAUUGCCAUGAAUGUGCUCAACAAGAAGGGGUAGGAUUCUAGUACAAGGUACUCCUAUUGAUUGAUAGGGACUAGUGAGGCAUUCAUUGAUCAAUUACAGAUUUGUUUUGUUUGUUUGUUUUUGUUUUUAAAAUUUUUUGGAGGUGGUUGGGGAUGGUGAAUUUUCUGCACUUACUUUUCUUGAACACUAUACUUUGCUGGUCCAAGAACCAAAGGUACUCAAGUUGUUAUGAGAAUUUAUGCAGAAUGACUAAAGCUCUUUAGACUUAUAUCAAGCAAUACCGUCCAAUCCUGGCAUUUGUCUUGGCAUGCAGCUUCAUUUUUAGUCAAGUAAGGAGAAUGGACCAGUAAAAGGUCUUGGUCUAAUUGCUGGAGUAGUUGGGUGUUUUGAUUCAUCUAAAGGAAUCAGAGUACCUCAUAUUGGGUGGAGUGCACUUGAAAUAACAAAAGCUUCAGGGAUCUUUGAUGAAAUUGGGAAGCAUCAUGUUUAGUUUGUUCAUUCUUAUCGCGCAACACUGGUGCAAUUUUUUCUCUAUUUCAUUGUUGAAACUUUAAUUUUUUGCUUUUGCAUGUAAGAAACUUAGCUUAACCCUUCAUCACUUCUUUUAGUCAGAUGAUAAUGGAGAGUGUGUAUCAUCAACUAGUAAUUAUGGUGAUAAUUUUAUAGCAUCUGUCAGAAGGGGAAAUGUCCAUGGUGUCCAGCUUCACCCCGAGAAGAGUGGAUGUAUGUUGUACAUGAACCUUGUAUGCCAAGAAAAAAUAGAGCUGUUUUAAAAAUUUUCAAAUUUUCUCGAAAGUAAAUGAGUUGAAACUUCAAACCUGCACUUUGCAGGUCUGUUCAUAGCUAUUUUCUCAACCAAAUGAAGCACAAAGAGCCAAUACCACCUCCACUGAGGCUCGAAACCACCCCCUCCCAUGUGGGGUACAACCGGGUACCACUAGACCACAAGGAUGAUGAUGGAACUUUGUGUUCAAUUUGGAAGUUGCUACAAGGUCUGGUGCUGACAGUCUCAGUUGGGAGUGAUGCUGUUUAUGCUGCAGAAGAAUACUCGAAAUCUUUUUAAACCAUCUCUACACUUAUUUAUAAAAGUGCACUCAAGUUAGAUGCACCAUAACAUAACAACAAACACACUAUAGAUUUUUGUUAAAUGCACUGCAAUAAUUACAAAAAUGCACCCACAUUUUUUUCUCAUAUUUUUCAACCCUUGAUUACUUUAUAUAUAAAUAUAAAUAUUGUUUUGUACGCCCUUUUUGAAAAAUAAGGUGACAGGAAAGCACAGUUUAUAUACACCUUGCAUUUUCUAGAAAAAAAAAAAAAAAAAAAAGGGUCCGAAAACAUCUCUAGAAAAUGGAUCUCAUUAGAGUAUUUCACUUUUUGUCCAGGAUU
Molecule: long non-coding RNA, 1780 nt
Organism: Ipomoea triloba (trilobed morning glory)
Lineage: Eukaryota; Viridiplantae; Streptophyta; Magnoliopsida; Solanales; Convolvulaceae
Exons: 6
Source: RefSeq, a predicted model, not a curated record